This 253-nucleotide ribosomal RNA is filed under the name uncultured bacterium. RNAcentral describes it as "partial 16S ribosomal RNA". It matches the Rfam family "Bacterial small subunit ribosomal RNA", at positions 524 to 776 of the family's 1533-position model. The record is from RNAcentral.
GACAGAGGGUGCACACGUUGUUCGGAAUUACUGGGCGUAAAGCGCGUGUAGGCGGCCCUGCAAGUCGGAUGUGAAAUCCCACGGCUCAACCGUGGAAGUGCAUUCGAAACUGCAGGGCUAGAGUCCUGGAGAGGAAGGUGGAAUGCUUGGUGUAGAGGUGAAAUUCGUAGAUAUCAAGCGGAACACCGGUGGCGAAGGCGGCCUUCUGGACAGUGACUGACGCUGAGACGCGAAAGCGUGGGGAGCAAACAGG